Molecule: ribosomal RNA, 407 nt
Filed under: uncultured bacterium
Lineage: Bacteria
Description: partial 16S ribosomal RNA
Rfam family: Bacterial small subunit ribosomal RNA
Source: RNAcentral
AUUGAACGCUAGCGGGAUGCCUUACACAUGCAAGUCGAACGGAUGGGCGGACGGGUGAGUGAGGUAUCGGAACGUGCCCCGUAGCGGGGGAUAACUAUGCCAAAGCGUAACUGAUACCGCAUACUCUUGGAGCGGCCGAUAUCGAAUUGGCUAGUUGGUGGGGGAACGGCUCACCAAGGCGACGAUCCGUAGCCGGUUUGAGAGGACGACCAGCCACACUGGAACUGAGACACGGCCCAGACUCCUACGGGAGGCAGCAGUGGGGAAUAUUGGACAAUGGGGGAAACCCUGAUGCAGCCAUGCCGCGUGUGCGAAGAAGGCCUUCGGGUUGUAAAGCACUUUCGGCGGGGAGGCGGUACCUGCAGAAGAAGCACCGGCUAACUACGUGCCAGCCGCCGCGGUAAUUC